GUGGGGCUAGGUGUGUCUGAGCUCUGACUCUCCUUGUGUGGGUCUUUCUGUGGCUGUUGUGGGGGAUAGGGGUGAGAUGCCCAGGUUAAUGGAGUUGUGUACAUAGGAGGAUUAUGCUGCCUCUGCUGAGUCAUGCAGGUUGUCAGGGAAGUGGGGGAAAGCCGGCAGUCAUAGGCCUCACCCAGCUCCCAUGCAAACCAAAGAGCAGUUCUCAUGGAGCCUGUUUCCAGGUGGUGGGCAAGAUGGGCUUGAAAACUUGCCUCAGGCUACCUGCCUCUCAACUAUGGAAAAAAAGGGCUUGGUUCUUCCCCUGCCUGUGGAGUCUGCACAACAGAUUUGUGCCCUCCCAUGAGUUCUGGCCAGGAGGCUUCUCGCCCUGUUCAAAUUGUUACAAAGUUCAACUAUAGAUUUCUUUCUUCCUGUGGAGUUUCAACACCUGCUCCUCUGGCCACCCUCACAAUGGAUCCCUGUGGUGCCAAGCAGGAAUGGCCUGUUUGGGCACCCAGUGAGCUCCCAGGGCCUUUCUACUGCUUCCUCAAACCCUGUAUUUUGCUCAGCUCUCUAAAUGGAUUCAACUCCAGAGAAGACUAUCAAGUAGUUAGGAAAGAAAGUCAGUGAGAUGUCUCAGGCGUGACUCAGCUACGGAAACAAUAGCAAUCAGAGGACAUUUGGAGAUGAAGAAAAAAAAGAAACAAACUUCAAUACAAUGAGAAAUAUACCAGUACAUAGACCUGGAACCAAACCCAGAACUUCACUUCCCUGUGCCAGAAGGAUUCCAGUGAGCUUUUCCCACAGGCCCUACAGUCUUCUCCAGAGUCACACUCUGUCACCCAGGGUGAAGUGCAAUGGCACAAUCUCGGCUCACCACAACCUCCACCUCCUGGGUUUAAGAGAUUCUCCUGCCUCAGCCUUCCAAGUAGCUGGGAUUACAGGCAUAUGCCACCGGGUCCGGAAUUUUGUGUAUUCACAACAACAUUUGCUGCAUUGGUACAGUGUGACAGAUACAGCACUGAGUACUGACAAACUGGGGAUAUAAUUAUUAAUGAAUAAAGGCAAAAGCAUGACACUUAAGGACAUAAUCUAGUAGACUGUAAUGUGAUGAAGUUUACCUUGAAGGAGAGGGGAG
Molecule: long non-coding RNA, 1126 nt
Filed under: Homo sapiens (human)
Lineage: Eukaryota; Metazoa; Chordata; Mammalia; Primates; Hominidae
Description: HSALNT0305615
Source: RNAcentral